CCUACGGGAGGCAGCAGUGAGGAAUAUUGGUCAAUGGACGAGAGUCUGAACCAGCCAAGUAGCGUGAAGGAUGACUGCCCUAUGGGUUGUAAACUUCUUUUAUAUGGGAAUAAAACGUUCCACGUGUGGGAUUUUGUAUGUACCAUAUGAAUAAGGAUCGGCUAACUCCGUGCCAGCAGCCGCGGUAAUACGGAGGAUCCGAGCGUUAUCCGGAUUUAUUGGGUUUAAAGGGAGCGUAGGUGGAUUGUUAAGUCAGUUGUGAAAGUUUGCGGCUCAACCGUAAAAUUGCAGUUGAAACUGGCAGUCUUGAGUACAGUAGAGGUGGGCGGAGUUCGUGGUGUAGCGGUGAAAUGCUUAGAGAUCACGAAGAACUCCGAUUGCGAAGGCAGUUCACUGGACUGCAACUGACACUGAGGCUCGAAAGUGUGGGUAUCAAACAGGAUUAGAUACCCCAGUAGUC
Molecule: ribosomal RNA, 460 nt
Filed under: uncultured bacterium
Lineage: Bacteria
Description: partial 16S ribosomal RNA
Rfam family: Bacterial small subunit ribosomal RNA
Source: RNAcentral